UACGUAGGGGACGAGCGUUGUCCGGAAUUACUGGGCGUAAAGGGCGCGCAGGCGGUAUAUCAAGUCAGCUGUCAAAGACUGGGGCUCAACCCUGGUAUGCGGUUGAAACUGAUAUGCUGGAGUGCUGUAGAGGCAAGUGGAAUUCCCAGUGCAGCGGUGAAAUGCGUAGAUAUUGGGAAGAACACCGGUGGCGAAGGCGACUUGCUGGGCAGCAACUGACGCUGAGGCGCGAAAGCCAGGGGAGCAAACGGGAUUA
This 256-nucleotide ribosomal RNA is filed under the name uncultured prokaryote. RNAcentral describes it as "partial 16S ribosomal RNA". It matches the Rfam family "Bacterial small subunit ribosomal RNA", at positions 524 to 780 of the family's 1533-position model. The record is from RNAcentral.